GCCUUCGUGGUGUAGUGGUCAACACGCUGGGCGCGUAUUCCAGAGGUCCGUGGUUCGAGUCCUGGCGAAGGCG
This 73-nucleotide transfer RNA is filed under the name Stegodyphus mimosarum. It matches the Rfam family "tRNA". Rfam says of the family: Transfer RNA (tRNA) molecules are approximately 80 nucleotides in length. Their secondary structure includes four short double-helical elements and three loops (D, anti-codon, and T loops). Lineage: Eukaryota; Metazoa; Arthropoda; Arachnida; Araneae; Eresidae. The record is from Rfam by way of RNAcentral.